This is a long non-coding RNA of Astatotilapia calliptera (eastern happy), 1125 nucleotides long. The record is from Ensembl. NCBI's taxonomy places the organism in Eukaryota, Metazoa, Chordata, Actinopteri, Cichliformes, Cichlidae.
CAUCAGUUGCUGUUAUAUUGCUGGUGUAAUUUAAUGCACUGUAUGUUUUCUGACAUAAUAAACAACACAUGCUAUCUAUGUAGAUAAUGUGCUUCUAUCAGCUUUACGCUGUGUAAAGAAAAUAAUAAAUGCCAUCACCAGGUUAAACUCCCUUAACAUGUUAUCUCAGAAUUAAUUAAUGUGUAUAAUAUUUAUAGUUUCCUGAGGAGUCUAAUACACAGUUAUUUAUUAUUUGUGGACGGAAGAGUCGCAUUUUCAGUCACGAUGACUAUACAUGGCCUUCUCAAAUCCCAAGGGGGUAAUCACUACAUUUCCCAGUGAUGCUUGCUUGGCUAAGCAGUUUUAAUACACAAAUCAAUUUUGCAUUACCCCCUUCUGGCUGUGAGUGCUCAUAGUGUGAGAGCCAUGAAAAAUUGAUGGGCCUUAGCAUGCAGAUUGCAACCCUAGUGUAUCUUAAAUUUGUCCGGGGCCUUUUCUUUCUUUCUUUUCUUUUUUUUUUACCCAGACAGUGUCAAAGGGGUGGGGUGGCUGUUUGUUUUGCUGCUUUUUCUUUUCUUUUUCUUUUUUAUACUUAAGUUGAAAAGAGAGACAGCUGCUCCAGCGGAGAAACAAUGUUGAUAGGCACAGUGUGAGAAAGUAUGAUGUGUGAGGGGAUGUGGAGAAAACAGAGACUCAGAAACAUUCCAGUAACCCAAGAUGACAUUCACACAGGACCCAGACAAUAUUCCUCCCACUUCUCUAUUCUAAAAUAUCAUAAAUAUAAUGCCCAACAUCUCAUCGAGCAUUUGUUUUUGCCACGGCGAUUAGGUUGUGUCAUUUGGUGAGCCGCUCUGUAUUUGACCAGCUGAUGACUUGACUGCUGAAAGAAAUUAUAGCUUCCAUAAUUAGCUUUCGCUAUGAAAUGAAGCUAUCAUAGGAGAGAAUGAGGAAAUUUCACACCUUGUAAAUUAGAUUUUGCAAGGUGCUGUGUCGAUGUCCUUGAGUAUAGACACAUCAAAAAGCCUUUUUUGUUCAGUCCUUUCUUUGACAAAUGCAGACAAAAAUCUGCAAUGAACUGCAAAUUGAACAGCAAAGAGCCACUUUGAGGAUCUAACAGCUAAAUUUGUUCAUGUGAUGAUUUCUUUC